CUUAAUUUGGAAAGAAUAAUUAUAGAAAAGUUGGUGGAAUAAACAGAAAAAACACUGUUACAUCAGUGAAUGAUUUCGUUAUUAAAAAAAAUCAUUACUCGAACUUGCUAAAAAAAUAAUAAAAACUUUACUCAAAUGAGCAAUUCAUAAAACUAUUACAUGUCUAAAAAUCGUUUUAACAUUCAACAAUCCUAGAACAUAUCUACUUUCAUUUGAUGAACAAAUAGUAGAACAAGAAAGAAAGAAUAAUCCUAAUCAACUGAAACACUUUGAUACAGUCCUUGUGCAACAAAGCUGGAAGAUAUAAAGUGUGAGAGACUGAAUCAGUGGUGCCGCAGUGGGUCCCUGCCGAGCGUUUAGCAGACAUACACUAGCGAUUGAUCAACGAUGGUUGGAGACAGUAUGCACCAGCCGUUCCUACAAAACAGAUAUACAACCUCAAAAUGCAACAUUGAUUCAGAUGCAUAAAAACUGUGAAAGAGUAGUGUGUCCAAGUUUUACAUAAUCAUUCAAUUAUCGAGCAUCUAAUUGAAUAAGGUCGUGAGGUCGUGACACGAAGAAAAGGAUGCGUUUCCAGGAAACUUAUAUUCAUAUAUUUCAACAAUAGAGAGUGUGAGGAACGUGCUUUACUGCAGUUGAAAAGUAUGCUAAUCAUAGGUUUGUUAUAGGUCAUAUUAGAGAAAAUGCAUGUCAGAGCAGCAACUACCUACAAUAUACGUUCCUAAAUACGAUUUACAGAUCUAUGGUAUUACAAAUGUACAAAUUUGUACACAAGUGAAUGUAAAAGUUGACGCCGGUUACAAGAGGAAAGUGUAACACAUGCUAUAAAUAAACUGUCGUCAAUAUCGAGGAUAAAUUUACUUACACAUCG
This is a long non-coding RNA of Neodiprion fabricii, 871 nucleotides long. RefSeq lists it as uncharacterized. NCBI's taxonomy places the organism in Eukaryota, Metazoa, Arthropoda, Insecta, Hymenoptera, Diprionidae. The record is from RefSeq and is a predicted model, not a curated record. The transcript is spliced from 3 exons.